Pelobates cultripes (western spadefoot toad) is the source of this 557-nucleotide non-coding RNA. The record is from the annotation of a GenBank genome assembly. NCBI's taxonomy places the organism in Eukaryota, Metazoa, Chordata, Amphibia, Anura, Pelobatidae.
AGACCCCACACCACACACUACCCCCAUAAACACACAUUGCCCCCAUACACAUUGCCCCCAUACACACACACUGUACCCCUCACACUCACUACCCAGCCACACACACUGCCCCCACCACACACACACUGUACCCCUCACACAACCUGCCCCCCACACAAACACUAUACCCCUCACACACACACUGCCCGACAUACACACACACUGCACCCCUCACUCACACACACACACACAAACUACAUCCUUCACAAACACAAUGCACCCCUCACACACACACACACACACACACUGCACCCCUGUACACACCAAUGCACAUGCACCUCUCACACACAAUCCACCACUCACACACACAUAUUGCACCCCAUACACAUACACACAAACUACAGCCCCUACAGACAGUAGUUAAACAGUUUGACUACUUACCCUGGGAGGGUACUACGGCAAUACUGACACCAUAACCACUUUAAAUAAUCUACCAGUGCCAUACCUGAAUGGCAAGCAUUUCUGCCAAACAGGGGCCCAGUAUAGGCUGCAGCGCUGUACACAUGGGCAUCCGCAAG